GUUUACGGCCAUGCCACCCUGAACAAGCCCGAUCCCAUCUGAUCUCAGAAGCUAAGCAGGGUCGUCCUGGUUAGUACUGGAUGGGAGACCACCUAGGAAGACCAGGUGCUAUAGGUG
Molecule: ribosomal RNA, 117 nt
Filed under: Pteropus alecto (black flying fox)
Lineage: Eukaryota; Metazoa; Chordata; Mammalia; Chiroptera; Pteropodidae
Source: RNAcentral